This 72-nucleotide transfer RNA is filed under the name Deltaproteobacteria bacterium. RNAcentral's name for it is "tRNA-Glu". It matches the Rfam family "tRNA". Rfam says of the family: Transfer RNA (tRNA) molecules are approximately 80 nucleotides in length. Their secondary structure includes four short double-helical elements and three loops (D, anti-codon, and T loops). Lineage: Bacteria; Pseudomonadati; Myxococcota; Myxococcia. The record is from RNAcentral.
GUCCGUGUAGUGUAAUGGUUAAUGCACCGGUCUCUCUAACCGGCAAUAGGGGUUCGAUUCCCCUCACGGAUA